ACGCCUGGUCGAAGCGAACGUGAAACCGCUGCGGAAAUCCGGUCGAUUCGCCGCAGCGGUUUC
This 63-nucleotide small RNA is filed under the name Mycolicibacterium hassiacum DSM 44199. Its description in RNAcentral is "Mycobacterium hassiacum DSM 44199 Mycobacterium sRNA Ms_IGR-8". The stretch from base 14 to 63 matches the Rfam family "Mycobacterium sRNA Ms_IGR-8", at positions 14 to 63 of the family's 63-position model. Lineage: Bacteria; Bacillati; Actinomycetota; Actinomycetes; Mycobacteriales; Mycobacteriaceae. The record is from Rfam by way of RNAcentral.